CGAGCUGAGUGGCCCUCAGCAAGGCGGGAGAUAUGACACCAGUCCUUCCUAGCCCACAGGGCUCCAACAAGCUAAAGGAAGUCUAGGUGUUUUGAAAGGCAUUGCAUUCACUGCUCCUGCGAGGGUAAAGAGGACGGCCUAACAUGGUGGAAAAGAGCACGGGAUCUGGAGCGGAACUGGGUUUGAAUACAGAAAAUGCCACCCACCAGCUGUGUCCAGGGGCAUGUCACUUUGCCUCUCUUUGCUUUGGUCUCCCCAUCAUAGUGCCCACCUCACAGGGUGGCAGCAAAACUGGAGGG
Molecule: non-coding RNA, 299 nt
Organism: Ceratotherium simum simum (southern white rhinoceros)
Lineage: Eukaryota; Metazoa; Chordata; Mammalia; Perissodactyla; Rhinocerotidae
Source: RefSeq, a predicted model, not a curated record